GCGUUAUUGAAGCAGCCCAAGGUUAAUUUGAAUGGCCUAUUCCAUCUGCCCCGAAGGAAGACUGGAGUAGAAAGGAAAUGGAAAGAGAGCUACAGUAGCCUGGAGCCCAGAAGCCUCAGUGGGACCCACUGAAGCAGGGAGGGGGUGCAUCUGCCAGGCAUUAGAGGAGGAAGGAGAUUAAAGGUGGGCAGAUCACUGCUCACUUGAGUGUUCGGUGAAGCAUGGGGUAUAUGACUAAGAAGUGCAUCUGCAGAAUCUCUCUGAAGUCUAUGGAAAAUGAGGGGGAAAACCAACCAUAAGAGAUUUUGUUAAUUUAUCACAGCAAAUGCUUGAAAGAUAGCUGUUAUAUAUGUUUGGAAGUCCUUAGGCAUGAAAGUAUGAACUCAGAUUCUUCCGCAGUGAGAAGAGCAGCUUGGAAUUUUAUACUCUUUUCUUCACAUUGUCAGAGAUCUCCCCCAAAGUGCUUCACUGAGAGUUUAAUUACCUGCUGAUGAAGAGGGGGCAGUAGCAUGUAGAGGAGUGACUACUCUGAGCAGCUGACAGCAUCUGACUGUCUGAAGUGGAACCCCAAUGGCCGGGCCAGGGAUGUGCAGGCCAGGCUUAGGCCUCCUUGUUGGACAUCCUGCUUGGGGAGGCCCUUCCUCAUACACAGGGAGCACCAGCUAAGCCAAACCAGAGGCCUCAUUCCAACCCUGCCAACAAGGUCAGGUGACCCUGCACAGCUUUCUCCUUGGGCAGUGCCAGGAGCCAGGGAGGUGGCAUAUGUCUCAGCUCCUCAAUUGCAAUUGUGACUUUCACAGGCACUGCCAAGAGCAGAGCUUCAUUAGCAGGCGGCAAAGCGAGGACUGUGAGUGAGACUACCUCAGUGCAGAAAAAAGCAAGUGUCAGCAACAGCUCGGCCUUCUUGGAGAGGUUUCUUUGUGUUUCUUCAUCCUGCUGCUCUGAAGCAGACAGUGUCUGGUUCUCUUGGGUAGCUCUAUAUCCUGUGCACGCACUGGAAAACAUUGAGACACCAUUAGGUGGUGUUCCGGAUGUAAUUAAUAACACAGCCUCAGGAGCUCUUGGGCGUUACUGCCUUUCUCACUCUGCCCUUCCUGUGAUCCUAGCAGAUAAGUCAGAGCCACCAGCCAGCUGUGCAGUGGGAGGAACAGCUGGCCCAUGCCUGCACCUGUCCCAAUGCAAUGACAGUGAACAUCCUUCAGAGUCUUUUUUGCUCUCCUGGGACUCGAUCCAUCCAUUAUUUCUUGAGGCAGCACAUCUUGUGGCCAGAGUUGGCAUGCAUGCCCUAAUUGUUACUUAG
This 1300-nucleotide long non-coding RNA is filed under the name Monodelphis domestica (gray short-tailed opossum). Its description in RNAcentral is "lncRNA (ENSMODG00000047386.1)". The record is from RNAcentral. Lineage: Eukaryota; Metazoa; Chordata; Mammalia; Didelphimorphia; Didelphidae.